CGGAGAAGGCGCAUGAGAUGGAUUCUGAGACACUAAUCCAGGCCCUACGGGGCGCAGCAGGCGCGAACACUUCGCAAUGGGGGAAACCCCGACGAGGGAACUCCAAGUGCCAGCACUUUGUGUUGGCUGUUUAUAUUCCUAAAAAGAAUGUAGAGUAAGGGCUGGGUAAGACGGGUGCCAGCCGCCGCGGUAAUACCCGCAGCCCGAGUGGUGGUCACUUUUAUUGGGCCUAAAACGUUCGUAGCCGGUUUGGUAAAUCUUUGGGUAAAUCGGGUGGCUUAACCAUUCGAAUUCCAAAGAGACUGCCAGACUAGGGACUGGGUGAGGUCAGAGGUACUUUUGGGGUAGGGGUGAAAUCCUUUAAUCCUAAAAGGACCACCAGUGGCGAAGGCGUCAGACUAACACAGCUCCGACGGUGAGGAACGAAGCCCUGGGGCGCAAACGGGAUUAGAUACCCCGGUAGUCCAGGGCGUAAACGCUGUGGGCUUGGUGUUGGAUGUCCUAUGGGGGCAUUCAGUGCCGGAGAGAAGUUGUUAAGCCUACUGCCUGGGGAAUACGGUCGCAAGGCUGACACUUAAAGGAAUUGGCGGGGGAGCACAGCAACGGGUGGAGCGUGCGGUUUAAUUGGAUUCAACGCCGGAAAACUCACCGGAGGUGACUGCCACAUGAGAGUCAGGCUAAAGACUUUACUCGAUUAAUAGGUAGAGAGGUGGUGCAUGGCCGUCGUCAGUUCGUACUGUAAAGCGUUCUGUUAAGUCAGAUAACGAACGAGACCCCUGCUGCUAGUUGCUACUCAUCUCCCCGGAGAUGAGGCACACUAUCGGGACCGCUGUCGCUAAGCCAGAGGAGGGGGGGGCAACGGUAGGUCAGUAUGCCCUGAAUCCUCCGGGCUACACGCGCGCUACAAAGGAUAGGACAAUGAGUUUCGACUCCGAGAGGGGAAGGUAAACCCGAAACCUAUACCGUAGUUCGGAUUGAAGGUUGCAACUCACCUUCAUGAAGCUGGAAUCCGUAGUAAUCGCGGAUCAACAUUCCGCGGUGAAUACGCCCCUGCUCCUUGCACACACCGCCCGUCAAACCACCCUAGUUGUGGGUGGAUGAGGAUGCUCAUUUCUUGGGGCGUUCAAAUCUAUUUACAGCAAGGAGGAUUAAGUCGUAACAAGGUAACC
This 1169-nucleotide ribosomal RNA is filed under the name uncultured organism. RNAcentral's name for it is "bacterial SSU rRNA". It matches the Rfam family "Archaeal small subunit ribosomal RNA", at positions 278 to 1448 of the family's 1478-position model. The record is from RNAcentral.